UGGGGAAUAUUGCACAAUGGGCGCACGCCUGAUGCAGCCAUGCCGCGUGUAUGAAGAAGGCCUUCGGGUUGUAAAGUACUUUCAGCGGGGAGGAAGGGAGUCAAGUUAAUACCUUUGCUCAUUGACGUUACCCGCAGAAGAAGCACCGGCUAACUCCGUGCCAGCAGCCGCGGUAAUACGGAGGGUGCAAGCGUUAAUCGGAAUUACUGGGCGUAAAGCGCACGCAGGCGGUCUGUCAAGUCGGAUGUGAAAUCCCCGGGCUCAACCUGGGAACUGCACUCGAAACUGGCAGGCUAGAGUCUUGUAGAGGGGGGUAGAAUUCCAGGUGUAGCGGUGAAAUGCGUAGAGAUCUGGAGGAAUACCGGUGGCGAAGGCGGCCCCCUGGACAAAGACUGACGCUCAGGUGCGAAAGCGUGGGGAGCAAACAGG
RNAcentral lists this ribosomal RNA (429 nucleotides) under Chloroflexota bacterium. RNAcentral describes it as "Chloroflexi bacterium partial 16S ribosomal RNA". It matches the Rfam family "Bacterial small subunit ribosomal RNA", at positions 355 to 776 of the family's 1533-position model. Lineage: Bacteria; Bacillati; Chloroflexota. The record is from RNAcentral.